ACUGGUUUGCAACAAUGUCAGCAAGAUCAACCACCCUCUGUGAGUAACCCCAUUCAUUGUCAUACCAAGCAAUAACCUUAACCAUGUCAUCUCCCAUGACCAUAGUGAGUGAAGCAUCAACAGUUGAUGACACAUCACUGCACCGGAAGUCAACUGACACGAGUGGUUCAUCGCAGACUGAGAGAAUGCCAUUGAGUUCCUUGUCAGCAGCCUCUCUAAACGCAGCAUUCACUUCCUCAGCAAAUGUCUUCUUGGAGACUUGAACGACAAGGUCCACAACUGAGACAUUAGGGGUGGGGACACGGAGGGC
RNAcentral lists this long non-coding RNA (310 nucleotides) under Capsicum annuum. RNAcentral describes it as "long non-coding RNA (CANN_LNC007732)". Lineage: Eukaryota; Viridiplantae; Streptophyta; Magnoliopsida; Solanales; Solanaceae. The record is from RNAcentral.